AGAGUUUGAUCCUGGCUCAGAUUGAACGCUGGCGGCAUGCCUUACACAUGCAAGUCGAACGGCAGCACGAGAGCUUGCUCUUGGUGGCGAGUGGCGAACGGGUGAGUAAUAUAUCGGAACGUACCCUAGAGUGGGGGAUAACGUAGCGAAAGUUACGCUAAUACCGCAUACGAUCUACGGAUGAAAGUGGGGGAUCGCAAGACCUCAUGCUCAUGGAGCGGCCGAUAUCUGAUUAGCUAGUUGGUGGGGUAAAAGCUCACCAAGGCGACGAUCAGUAGCUGGUCUGAGAGGACGACCAGCCACACUGGAACUGAGACACGGUCCAGACUCCUACGGGAGGCAGCAGUGGGGAAUUUUGGACAAUGGGCGCAAGCCUGAUCCAGCAAUGCCGCGUGAGUGAAGAAGGCCUUCGGGUUGUAAAGCUCUUUUGUCAGGGAAGAAACGGUGGACUCUAAUACAGAUCACUAAUGACGGUACCUGAAGAAUAAGCACCGGCUAACUACGUGCCAGCAGCCGCGGUAAUACGUAGGGUGCAAGCGUUAAUCGGAAUUACUGGACGUAAAGCGUGCGCAGGCGGUUGUGCAAGACAGAUGUGAAAUCCCCGGGCUCAACCUGGGAAUUGCAUUUGUGACUGCACGGCUAGAGUGUGUCAGAGGGGGGUAGAAUUCCACGUGUAGCAGUGAAAUGCGUAGAGAUGUGGAGGAAUACCGAUGGCGAAGGCAGCCCCCUGGGAUAACACUGACGCUCAUGCACGAAAGCGUGGGGAGCAAACAGGAUUAGAUACCCUGGUAGUCCACGCCCUAAACGCUGUCUACUAGUUGUCGGGUCUUAAUUGACUUGGUAACGCAGCUAACGCGUGAAGUAGACCGCCUGGGGAGUACGGUCGCAAGAUUAAAACUCAAAGGAAUUGACGGGGACCCGCACAAGCGGUGGAUGAUGUGGAUUAAUUCGAUGCAACGCGAAAAACCUUACCUACCCUUGACAUGUCUGGAAUCCUUGAGAGAUCAGGGAGUGCUCGAAAGAGAAUCAGAACACAGGUGCUGCAUGGCUGUCGUCAGCUCGUGUCGUGAGAUGUUGGGUUAAGUCCCGCAACGAGCGCAACCCUUGUCAUUAGUUGCUACGAAAGGGCACUCUAAUGAGACUGCCGGUGACAAACCGGAGGAAGGUGGGGAUGACGUCAAGUCCUCAUGGCCCUUAUGGGUAGGGCUUCACACGUCAUACAAUGGUACAUACAGAGGGCCGCCAACCCGCGAGGGGGAGCUAAUCCCAGAAAGUGUAUCGUAGUCCGGAUUGUAGUCUGCAACUCGACUACAUGAAGUUGGAAUCGCUAGUAAUCGCGGAUCAGCAUGUCGCGGUGAAUACGUUCCCGGGUCUUGUACACACCGCCCGUCACACCAUGGGAGCGGGUUUCACCAGAAGUGGGUAGCCUAACCGCAAGGAGGGCGCUCACCACGGUGGGAUUCGUGACUGGGGUGAAGUCGUAACAAGGUA
This 1491-nucleotide ribosomal RNA is filed under the name metagenome. RNAcentral's name for it is "bacterial SSU rRNA". It matches the Rfam family "Bacterial small subunit ribosomal RNA". The record is from RNAcentral.